CAAUAGCGUAUAUUUAAGUUGUUGCGGUUAAAAAGCUCGUAGUUGGAUUUCGGUUAAGAGCGACCGGUCCGCCGUUUGGUGUGCACUGGUUGGUUUUAACUUCCUGUAGAGGACGUGCUCUGGGUUUAACGACCUGGACUCGGAGUCUACGUGGUUACUUUGAAAAAAUUAGAGUGUUCAAAGCGGGCUUACGCUUGAAUAUUUCAGCAUGGAAUAACACUAUAGGACUCCUGUCCUAUUUCGUUGGUCUCGGGACGGGAGUAAUGAUUAAGAGGAACAGUUGGGGGCAUUCGUAUUUCAUUGUCAGAGGUGAAAUUCUUGGAUUUAUGAAAGACGAACUUCUGCGAAAGCAUUUGCCAAGGAUGUUUNCAUUAA
This 375-nucleotide ribosomal RNA is filed under the name uncultured eukaryote. RNAcentral describes it as "partial 18S ribosomal RNA". It matches the Rfam family "Eukaryotic small subunit ribosomal RNA", at positions 592 to 976 of the family's 1831-position model. The record is from RNAcentral.